UGAGGAAUAUUGGUCAAUGGGCGAGAGCCUGAACCAGCCAAGUCGCGUGAAGGAAGACAGUCCUAAGGAUUGUAAACUUCUUUUAUACGGGAAUAACGGGCGAUACGAGUAUUGCAUUGAAUGUACCGUAAGAAUAAGCAUCGGCUAACUCCGUGCCAGCAGCCGCGGUAAUACGGAGGAUGCGAGCGUUAUCCGGAUUUAUUGGGUUUAAAGGGUGCGUAGGUUGUUCGGUAAGUCAGCGGUGAAACCUGAGCGCUCAACGUUCAGCCUGCCGUUGAAACUGCCGGGCUUGAGUUCAGUGGCGGCAGGCGGAAUUCGUGGUGUAGCGGUGAAAUGCAUAGAUAUCAGGAGGAACACCGAUGGCGAAGGCAGGUCACUGGGCCGUUACUGACACUGAGGAGCGAAAGCGUGGGGAGCGAACAGG
This 424-nucleotide ribosomal RNA is filed under the name Fusobacteriota bacterium. RNAcentral describes it as "Fusobacteria bacterium partial 16S ribosomal RNA". It matches the Rfam family "Bacterial small subunit ribosomal RNA", at positions 355 to 776 of the family's 1533-position model. Lineage: Bacteria; Fusobacteriati; Fusobacteriota. The record is from RNAcentral.